GACGAACGCUGGCGGCGUGCUUAACACAUGCAAGUCGAACGGAAAGGCCCUGCUUUUGUGGGGUGCUCGAGUGGCGAACGGGUGAGUAACACGUGAGUAACCUGCCCUUGACUUUGGGAUAACUUCAGGAAACUGGGGCUAAUACCGGAUAGGAGCUCCUGCUGCAGGGUGGGGGUUGGAAAGUUUCGGCGGUUGGGGAUUGACUAGCGGCUUAUCAGCUUGUUGGUGGGGUAGUGGCUUACCAAGGCUUUGACGGGUAGCAGGCCUGAGAGGGUGACCGGCCACAUUGGGACUGAGCUACGGCCCAGACUCCUACGGGAGGCAGCAGUGGAGAAUAUUGCACAAUGGGCGGAAGCCUGAUGCAGCAACGCCGCGUGCGGGAUGACGGCCUUCGGGUUGUAAACCGCUUUCGCCUGUGACGAAGCGUGAGUGACGGUAAUGGGUAAAGAAGCACCGGCUAACUACGUG
RNAcentral lists this ribosomal RNA (468 nucleotides) under uncultured bacterium. RNAcentral's name for it is "partial 16S ribosomal RNA". It matches the Rfam family "Bacterial small subunit ribosomal RNA", at positions 28 to 507 of the family's 1533-position model. The record is from RNAcentral.